UGCAGCUCUGGGUUCAGAGGGGCGGCAUGUCUCAGAAGAAAUCGGCCGAACAGGCGCUCGUGUAUAAAUGCACAGUCUGCAUGAGUAUGAUGCCAGACCCGAAAACAUACAAGCAGCAUUUUGAGAGCAAACAUCCGAAGAAUCCUCUACCUGCAGAAUUGCAGGAGGCGUAACUUGACACGGUUCCUGGUGAUAUUUUAUUUGUACAAGAGAAGACAAGAGUUUUGUCAAGAGAUCAUCAUGAAAUCAUUCAAUCGUCAUUCUCAGAUUUUCGUCAUUCUGUGAUUCCAUGUUCUCUCAAUCAAAUGUUUGUGUUACUCUUGGUCUGGCUGUAAAUAUUUUCUUUUUAUUUCGGAUAUAUCUAUGUGAAUAAAAUGUACAUUCAUC
Gigantopelta aegis is the source of this 387-nucleotide long non-coding RNA. RefSeq lists it as uncharacterized. The record is from RefSeq and is a predicted model, not a curated record. NCBI's taxonomy places the organism in Eukaryota, Metazoa, Mollusca, Gastropoda, Neomphalida, Peltospiridae. The transcript is spliced from 3 exons.